GACGUCCCCUUCACACGGGGAAGGUCACGAGUUCGAACCUCG
RNAcentral lists this transfer RNA (42 nucleotides) under Ogataea angusta. Its description in RNAcentral is "partial transfer RNA". Lineage: Eukaryota; Fungi; Ascomycota; Pichiomycetes; Pichiales; Pichiaceae. The record is from RNAcentral.